This 506-nucleotide ribosomal RNA is filed under the name uncultured bacterium. RNAcentral describes it as "partial 16S ribosomal RNA". It matches the Rfam family "Bacterial small subunit ribosomal RNA", at positions 30 to 523 of the family's 1533-position model. The record is from RNAcentral.
AUUGAACGCUGGCGGCAGGCUUAACACAUGCAAGUCGAGCGGUAACAGAGAGAAGCUUGCUUCUCUGCUGACGAGCGGCGGACGGGUGAGUAAUGCCUAGGAAUCUGCCUAGUAGUGGGGGAUAACUUGCCGAAAGGUAAGCUAAUACCGCAUACGUCCUACGGGAGAAAGGAGGGGACCUUCGGGCCUUUCGCUAUUAGAUGAGCCUAGGUCGGAUUAGUUAGUUGGUGAGGUAAUGGCUCACCAAGACCGCGAUCCGUAACUGGUCUGAGAGGACGAGCAGUCACACUGGAACUGAGACACGGUCCAGACUCCCACGGGAGGCAGCAGUGGGGAAUAUUGGGCAAUGGGGGGAACCCUGAUCCAGCCAUGCCGCGUGUGUGAAGAAGGUCUUAGGAUUGUAAAGCACUUUAAGUUGGGAGGAAGAGCAGUUAACUAAUAUUUGACUGUUCUGACGUUACCGACAGAAUAAGCACCGGCUAACUUCGUGCCAGCCGCCGCAGUAA